ACUCGCGAGCCCCACGUUGGGCGCCAAUUAUUCAAAUGUAUCAUUCAAUUUGAAGUUAUUUUAUUUGCCGUCAUCACGGCUUAGUUGUCAAGUAUAAAGUGACCAUUGAAUUAUUCUUAACUUAGCUCAAGCCACCAACCCGCAUCGCGUUGUAGCUCCUCUGCUGACGUUUUGCUGACCUUGCGCCUCGUGCAUGGUGUUUGUUUACUUAGAUGUCUGGCCAAUGUUCUCACGCAAAAUGUGCUGACUUAGCGACAUGUGCAGAGUGGUAGGCUCUUAUUACGACGGGAAUUAGGGUGUGUCGUUUCUUCGCGAUAACUUAUAUAAGACAACAUUUGUAAAAUAAUCUUUAUUACUAGUAAACAAUCUUCAGUUUUCAUUCGAUUUUGAACUGCGCUACAAUCGUUUAAUAGCCAACAGCCUAAUUACUUCUUGGCGAAGUUAUUUAAAAUUCACAGGUGACGUUUUGAAAGAUACCUACUAUUGGAAGCUGUUUAAUACCAGAGUGGUUUAUUGAAAUCAAACCGUUUUUACAUCUGCUACGACUACUACCUUCAUUUACACUACGCUCAAAGGAAAAUAAACAACAACGAGUAAAUUUCGAAUCAACCAUCAAUAAAUUUAUAAAUUUUCAGAAUAUAAAUACACCCAUAGACGACUUCGAAUUAAACAGCAAGCAGGCCACAAUCGUAGCAUCUGGAAAAAGCAAGGAGGAAAUUGUUCAGUAUUUUAUUUUAAUUGACGGUAAAGCUUUACAUGUGCCUAUAACAUAUACUUUCAUUGAGGUAUUUCAUUUAUAUUUUAAGUCAUUUUAUGUAUUCCAUAUAGAAUUCGAUCCAGCAUUGUCAAACUUUUUAAAAUUUUUUUCUAAGUUCAUUUACAAAGUUGAACCGAAUGUAAAGUGUUCUAAUCGAGUUCUUGAGAUCUAUAUGAAGUUAAAAAGCAAAAUUGAUGCUGAACGAUCAGUAAUUUAAAAAAUGGGAUAUCAGUAGGGAAAAAAAGUUUUAUAAAUAAGUAGUACUAAUCUAAAUGAAAAUGUAAAAUUUUGUGUAUCAAAGGUUUUACCAGAAUACGAAACAUGUAUACUUUCAUUGAUAUUCUUAAUAUUUACGAGGUGUCUCCUUCGAAAAAUAAGGAGGUAAUCCCCUUUGACAACCUGAAAUUUAAAAAGCCUCAUGAUUACUAUCAUAUUAAUUCUAAUAUAUACAUAAUAAUAACGGAUGUAAUUUUUAUCUAAAUAAUAUAUGUAAAUAGUUUUUGAACUGAAUAAAAA
Bactrocera dorsalis (oriental fruit fly) is the source of this 1273-nucleotide long non-coding RNA. RefSeq lists it as uncharacterized. The record is from RefSeq and is a predicted model, not a curated record. NCBI's taxonomy places the organism in Eukaryota, Metazoa, Arthropoda, Insecta, Diptera, Tephritidae. The transcript has 3 exons.